Molecule: ribosomal RNA, 1043 nt
Filed under: Escherichia coli
Lineage: Bacteria; Pseudomonadati; Pseudomonadota; Gammaproteobacteria; Enterobacterales; Enterobacteriaceae
Description: bacterial SSU rRNA
Rfam family: Bacterial small subunit ribosomal RNA
Source: RNAcentral
UUAUGAAUAAGGAUCGGCUAACUCCGUGCCAGCAGCCGCGGUAAUACGGAGGAUCCGAGCGUUAUCCGGAUUUAUUGGGUUUAAAGGGUGCGUAGGCGGCCUUUUAAGUCAGCGGUGAAAGUCUGUGGCUCAACCAUAGAAUUGCCGUUGAAACUGGGGGGCUUGAGUAUGUUUGAGGCAGGCGGAAUGCGUGGUGUAGCGGUGAAAUGCAUAGAUAUCACGCAGAACCCCGAUUGCGAAGGCAGCCUGCCAAGCCAUGACUGACGCUGAUGCACGAAAGCGUGGGGAUCAAACAGGAUUAGAUACCCUGGUAGUCCACGCAGUAAACGAUGAUCACUAGCUGUUUGCGAUACACUGUAAGCGGCACAGCGAAAGCGUUAAGUGAUCCACCUGGGGAGUACGCCGGCAACGGUGAAACUCAAAGGAAUUGACGGGGGCCCGCACAAGCGGAGGAACAUGUGGUUUAAUUCGAUGAUACGCGAGGAACCUUACCCGGGUUUGAACGCAUUCGGACCGAGGUGGAAACACCUUUUCUAGCAAUAGCCGUUUGCGAGGUGCUGCAUGGUUGUCGUCAGCUCGUGCCGUGAGGUGUCGGCUUAAGUGCCAUAACGAGCGCAACCCUUGCCACUAGUUACUAACAGGUGAUGCUGAGGACUCUGGUGGGACUGCCAGCGUAAGCUGCGAGGAAGGCGGGGAUGACGUCAAAUCAGCACGGCCCUUACAUCCGGGGCGACACACGUGUUACAAUGGCGUGGACAAAGGGAGGCCACCUGGCGACAGGGAGCGAAUCCCCAAACCACGUCUCAGUUCGGAUCGGAGUCUGCAACCCGACUCCGUGAAGCUGGAUUCGCUAGUAAUCGCGCAUCAGCCAUGGCGCGGUGAAUACGUUCCCGGGCCUUGUACACACCGCCCGUCAAGCCAUGGGAGCCGGGGGUACCUGAAGUCCGUAACCGCGAGGAUCGGCCUAGGGUAAAACUGGUGACUGGGGCUAAGUCGUAACAAGGUAGCCGUACCGGAAGGUGCGGCUGGAACACCUCCUUUCU